Panicum hallii is the source of this 198-nucleotide small nuclear RNA. RefSeq annotates it as U2 spliceosomal RNA. Lineage: Eukaryota; Viridiplantae; Streptophyta; Magnoliopsida; Poales; Poaceae. The transcript has a single exon. The record is from RefSeq and is a predicted model, not a curated record.
AUACCUUUCUCGGCCUUUUGGCUAAGAUCAAGUGUAGUAUCUGUUCUUAUCAGUUUAAUAUCUGAUAUGUGGGUCAUGUACCCACAAUGAUAUUAAAUUUAUUUUUUAUGGGGGAGAGCUUAUUAUGGUGGCUUGCUCCUAGAGCUCUCGCGUGUCGCCUAAGCGUUGCACUACUGCUUAAGGCCUGGCGCACCCCAA